RNAcentral lists this ribosomal RNA (440 nucleotides) under uncultured bacterium. RNAcentral describes it as "partial 16S ribosomal RNA". It matches the Rfam family "Bacterial small subunit ribosomal RNA", at positions 339 to 795 of the family's 1533-position model. The record is from RNAcentral.
CUACGGGCCGCUGCAGUGAGGAAUAUUGCACAAUGGGGGGAACCCUGAUGCAGCAACGCCGCGUGGAGGAUGACGCAUUUCGGUGUGUAAACUCCUUUUAUAUGUCAAGAAAAUGACGGUAGCAUAUGAAUAAGCACCGGCUAACUCCGUGCCAGCAGCCGCGGUAAUACGGAGGGUGCAAGGCGUUACUCGGAAUCACUGGGCGUAAAGGACGCGUAGGCGGGUUGGAAAGUCAGGUGUGAAAUCCUACAGCUUAACUGUAGAACUGCACUUGAAACUUCUAAUCUAGAGCAUGGGAGGGGGAGAUGGAAUUAGUGGUGUAGGGGUAAAAUCCGUAGAUAUCACUAGGAAUACCUAAAGCGAAGGCGAUCUCCUGGAACAUUACUGACGCUAAGGCGUGAAAGCGUGGGGAGCAAACAGGAUUAGAUACCCGAGUAGUC